This 417-nucleotide ribosomal RNA is filed under the name Methylobacterium sp. EI187. Its description in RNAcentral is "bacterial SSU rRNA". It matches the Rfam family "Bacterial small subunit ribosomal RNA", at positions 8 to 451 of the family's 1533-position model. Lineage: Bacteria; Pseudomonadati; Pseudomonadota; Alphaproteobacteria; Hyphomicrobiales; Methylobacteriaceae. The record is from RNAcentral.
AGAGUUUGAUCCUGGCUCAGAGCGAACGCUGGCGGCAGGCUUAACACAUGCAAGUCGAGCGGGCACCUUCGGGUGUCAGCGGCGGACGGGUGAGUAACGCGUGGGAACGUGCCCUCUGGUUCGGAAUAACUCAGGGAAACUUGAGCUAAUACCGGAUACGCCCUUUUGGGGAAAGGCUUGCUGCCGGAGGAUCGGCCCGCGUCUGAUUAGCUAGUUGGUGAGGUAACGGCUCACCAAGGCGACGAUCAGUAGCUGGUCUGAGAGGAUGAUCAGCCACACUGGGACUGAGACACGGCCCAGACUCCUACGGGAGGCAGCAGUGGGGAAUAUUGGACAAUGGGCGCAAGCCUGAUCCAGCCAUGCCGCGUGAGUGAUGAAGGCCUUAGGGUUGUAAAGCUCUUUUAUCCGGGACGAUAA